Molecule: ribosomal RNA, 762 nt
Filed under: Triticum aestivum (bread wheat)
Lineage: Eukaryota; Viridiplantae; Streptophyta; Magnoliopsida; Poales; Poaceae
Description: partial small subunit ribosomal RNA
Source: RNAcentral
AUGUCGUUCCACCGCGGCAGCAGCUCCGGCACCGGCGGCGACGACGGACCGAGCGCGUGGCCGUCGAGCCUGAGCACGCCGGAGACAGAGGAGCUGUACCGGUUUGGGCUCCUCGUGCCGCCGGGUUGCCGUCUUCCGCACAACUGGAAACUCGACAAGGACGGCUACCCGAGGCGCGGGCCCGGCGCCACCGCGGAGGAGAAGCGGACCGGCGGCCGCAACAACAUCGCCGGCCGUCACGCGUUCUGGGACGGCAAAGAGUACGCCGCCGUCAUCGGCGCGUACCGGCUGGCGGAGUCCGGCGUCACGCCAGACCUCAUCGGCGACCACCGCCGCCUUCUUGUCCCGCGCCCCCGUCCAGAAGCGCGCGGCCGUCGGGCCCCUCCACCACAUGCGCCGGCGCCUGCCGAUCCCCCCGCCCCGCCGGAGGUGGAACUGCCGCCGGAGCAGGUGGUUCUUCGGGAGGACGGCGAUCCCGACGAUACGCCGGGUUACCUCGUCGCCCCGCGGGCGUCGGUGGCUGCAACGGCGGCUGCAGAUGCGGCGGCGGCUGCGAGGGAGGCCGCCGAGCAGGCAGCAGCGAUCCAGGCGGCGGCGGCGAUUCCGCCGGUGGUUCCGCAGGCGGAGGCGGAGGCGUCGGAGUCGUCGGACGAAGACGUCAUCAACUGGGAGCGGUUAGCCCAGGUCAGCGACGAUGACGACGACGACGGCGGUGACGGCGCGGCGGAGUUCGUCGAUCUCGCGGCUAGCGACGACGAGUAG